Molecule: ribosomal RNA, 79 nt
Filed under: Pseudonectria foliicola
Lineage: Eukaryota; Fungi; Ascomycota; Sordariomycetes; Hypocreales; Nectriaceae
Description: partial 28S ribosomal RNA
Source: RNAcentral
GACCUCGGAUCAGGUAGGACUACCCGCUGAACUUAAGCAUAUCAAUAAGCCGGAGGAAGUUGGUAAUGGGUUUUUUUUG